CUGCAGCUGCAGCCCGCAGCGUCUGGUGUGUCUGCAUCACGCAGCCGAGCUCUGCAGCUGCGCAGCCAGCAACAAGUGCCUGCGGUUCAGGUACGAUCAGGACGAGUUUCCCGCCAUGCUCUAUGGGGUGAAGUCACGCGCGCAGUCUUACGACACCUGGGCCAAGAGGGUCACGGAGGCGCUGGCGGCCGAUAACAAGAGCAAGAGAGAUCUGAUCGAGCUGAAGGUGCUGCU
Long non-coding RNA from Sinocyclocheilus anshuiensis, 234 nucleotides. RefSeq lists it as uncharacterized. NCBI's taxonomy places the organism in Eukaryota, Metazoa, Chordata, Actinopteri, Cypriniformes, Cyprinidae. The record is from RefSeq and is a predicted model, not a curated record. The transcript has 3 exons.